GACGGAAGGUGCAAGCGUUGCUCGGAAUCAUUGGGCGUAAAGCGCGCGUAGGUGGCUUCGUAAGUCCGUUGUGAAAGUCAAAGGCUCAACCUUUGAAUGCCGAUGGAUACUGCGGAGCUAGAGUACGGAAGAGGCGAGUGGAAUUCCUGGUGUAGCGGUGGAAUGUGCAGAUAUCAGGAGGAACACCAAUAGCGAAGGCAGCUCGCUGGGACGUUACUGACACUAAGGCGCGAAAGCGUGGGGAGCGAACAGG
RNAcentral lists this ribosomal RNA (253 nucleotides) under uncultured bacterium. RNAcentral's name for it is "partial 16S ribosomal RNA". It matches the Rfam family "Bacterial small subunit ribosomal RNA", at positions 524 to 776 of the family's 1533-position model. The record is from RNAcentral.